GUGGGCGUAGCUCAGUUGGUAGAGCGCAGGAUUGUGAUUCCUGUGGUCGCGGGUUCAAAUCCCGUCGUCCACCCCA
Molecule: transfer RNA, 76 nt
Filed under: Chromatiales bacterium (ex Bugula neritina AB1)
Lineage: Bacteria; Pseudomonadati; Pseudomonadota; Gammaproteobacteria; Chromatiales
Description: tRNA-His
Rfam family: tRNA
About the family: Transfer RNA (tRNA) molecules are approximately 80 nucleotides in length. Their secondary structure includes four short double-helical elements and three loops (D, anti-codon, and T loops).
Source: RNAcentral